UAGGGAAUCUUCGGCAAUGGACGGAAGUCUGACCGAGCAACGCCGCGUGCGUGAAGAAGGUUUUCGGAUCGUAAAGCUCUGUUGUUAGAGAAGAACGUUGGUAGGAGUGGAAAAUCUACCAAGUGACGGUAACUAACCAGAAAGGGACGGCUAACUACGUGCCAGCAGCCGCGGUAAUACGUAGGUCCCGAGCGUUGUCCGGAUUUAUUGGGCGUAAAGCGAGCGCAGGCGGUUCUUUAAGUCUGAAGUUAAAGGCAGUGGCUUAACCAUUGUACGCUUUGGAAACUGGAGGACUUGAGUGCAGAAGGGGGGAGUGGAAUUCCAUGUGUAGCGGUGAAAUGCGUAGAUAUAUGGAGGAACACCGGUGGCGAAAGCGGCUCUCUGGUCUGUAACUGACGCUGAGGCUCGAAAGCGUGGGGAGCAAACAGG
RNAcentral lists this ribosomal RNA (429 nucleotides) under Bacillota bacterium. RNAcentral's name for it is "Firmicutes bacterium partial 16S ribosomal RNA". It matches the Rfam family "Bacterial small subunit ribosomal RNA", at positions 355 to 776 of the family's 1533-position model. Lineage: Bacteria; Bacillati; Bacillota. The record is from RNAcentral.